This 76-nucleotide transfer RNA is filed under the name Candidatus Pelagibacter sp. RNAcentral's name for it is "tRNA-Thr". It matches the Rfam family "tRNA". From Rfam's summary of the family: Transfer RNA (tRNA) molecules are approximately 80 nucleotides in length. Their secondary structure includes four short double-helical elements and three loops (D, anti-codon, and T loops). The record is from RNAcentral. Lineage: Bacteria; Pseudomonadati; Pseudomonadota; Alphaproteobacteria; Candidatus Pelagibacterales; Candidatus Pelagibacteraceae.
GCCCUUGUAGCUCAGUUGGUAGAGCAAUUGAUUUGUAAUCAAUAGGUCCGCGGUUCGACUCCGUGCGGGGGCACCA